GGUAUUGAAAUAAGAUUUUAAAUGAGUGCUAAGAGAAUGAUUAAACAAUUAAAAACUUUCUUUAAUUAAAUAAUUAAAUUUAAUUUUUUUUGGUGCAAAAGCAAAAAUAAAAUUUAGGGACAAGAAGACCCUAUGAAUUUUUAUUAUUAAUAUUAUGUAAUUAAAUUAUUAAUAAUUUAAUUGGGGUGAUAAAAAAAGAAUAAGUAUCUUUUUAAUUAUAAAAUAAGUUCCGUUUUUAGCGAUUAAAUGAAAAAAAUACUCUAGGGAUAACAGCGUAAUAAUUUUGGAUAGUUCAUAUAGAUAAAAUAGUUUGCGACCUCGAUGUUGGAUUAGGAUUCUUUUUUGGUGAAGAA
RNAcentral lists this ribosomal RNA (353 nucleotides) under Ixodes scapularis (black-legged tick). RNAcentral's name for it is "partial 16S ribosomal RNA". Lineage: Eukaryota; Metazoa; Arthropoda; Arachnida; Ixodida; Ixodidae. The record is from RNAcentral.